GUAAACGGAAGGGUUAAACUCAUGUCACAUCUGUAGCUCAGAUUAGCAAUUAGCAUGAGACAGGACACUCAGUAGCAUUACAACUUCCUGUUUAUUGCUCAUUGAAAUUAAUUCCACCUUCAUCACAGAGAAAAUACAGAAGACUUUCUCUGCCACCAUGAAAGCUAUGAAUGCUCUUUUGGUGCUUUCAUUUUUCCUGUUUAUUCAGUUCAUAUGCAAAGUGGAUGGAGCCGAGGCGCUGCAGCAGAAAAUCACACUGACCAAAGCAGAGGAAAAGUUAGCCAUUAUAGACUGUCAGUUACAAGUAAGCUGCUGGGGCUAUAUCCACUGGUAUCUGCAAAAAGAUCAAGAAACCUUAAGGAGAAUUCUGUAUGCUGACAUUAAUGAUGGAUCUGCAAAAAAUGAUGUCGGUUUUGAAUCUGUAAAAUCAGAAAAGAAAGGAUCAAAUCAUUUUGUUCUGAAAAUCACCAAGCUGAAAAUGGAGCAUGCAGCGAUGUAUUACUGUGCAUGCUGGGUCUUAAACAGCACAGUGUGUCUAAAAACCGAAGCCCCGCACAAAAAAACGCAACCCUUCCUCCAAAGAUAAAAACUCUUGAUAAG
Labeo rohita (rohu) is the source of this 600-nucleotide non-coding RNA. The record is from the annotation of a RefSeq genome assembly. Lineage: Eukaryota; Metazoa; Chordata; Actinopteri; Cypriniformes; Cyprinidae.